Molecule: ribosomal RNA, 744 nt
Filed under: uncultured bacterium
Lineage: Bacteria
Description: bacterial SSU rRNA
Rfam family: Bacterial small subunit ribosomal RNA
Source: RNAcentral
AGAGUUUGAUCCUGGCUCAGAGCGAACGCUGGCGGAAUGCUUAACACAUGCAAGUCGCACGGGGGCUUCGGCCUUAGUGGCGGACGGGUGAGUAACGCGUAGGAACGUGUCUUGGGGUGGGGGAUAACGCUGGGAAACUGGCGCUAAUACCGCAUGUCUGCUGCGGCAGAAAGCCUUCGGGUGCCUUGAGAGCGGCCUGCGUCCGAUUAGCUAGUUGGUGGGGUAGAGGCUUACCAAGGCUUCGAUCGGUAGCUGGUCUGAGAGGACGAUCAGCCACACUGGGACUGAGACACGGCCCAGACUCCUACGGGAGGCAGCAGUGGGGAAUAUUGGACAAUGGGCGGAAGCCUGAUCCAGCAAUUCCGCGUGGGUGAAGAAGGUCUUCGGAUUGUAAAGCCCUUUCGACAGGGACGAUGAUGACGGUACCUGUAGAAGAAGCCCCGGCUAACUUCGUGCCAGCAGCCGCGGUAAUACGAAGGGGGCUAGCGUUGCUCGGAAUUACUGGGCGUAAAGGGCGCGUAGGCGGCUGUGUUAGUCAGGCGUGAAAUUCCUGGGCUCAACCUGGGGACUGCGCUUGAUACGGCAUGGCUUGAGGAUGGAAGAGGCUCGCGGAAUUCCCAGUGUAGAGGUGAAAUUCGUAGAUAUUGGGAAGAACACCGGUGGCGAAGGCGGCGAGCUGGUCCAUUACUGACGCUGAGGCGCGACAGCGUGGGGAGCAAACAGGAUUAGAUACCCUAGUAGUCC